AUGCAGUUUGCUGAUCCAACAUUCCAAGAAACUGUUUUAACAUGGUAUGAAGAAGCAGAAAGGGAUCUGAGUGAAGUGGGAUCGGAUUGGGACAAAAAUUUUGUAAUGGACAAUGAGGAACCACCCAUCACCACUAAUUUUGACAUCAGCAACGAUGAAGCUCCUGAUGAAAGGGAUGACCAGAAUCCUCCAGAAUCCUAUCAAUUUCAUCUAUUAGCAAAAAUGUGGCUAAAUAUUCUGUCCAUAUUUGUAGUUCUCAAAGGAGUCCAAUCUCAAGUCCAGUUGGUGGAGUCUGGAGGGGAUGUGAGAAGACCUGGGGAGUCCCUCCGUCUCUCCUGCCAAGCCUCUGGAUUCACCUUCAGCAGCUCCUGGAUGGUCUGGGUGAGACAGCCUCCUGGGAAAGGAUUGGAAUGGGUGUCCUUCAUAGACACAGCUUCUACCACCUACUACUCUGACAAAGUGAAGGGACGCUUCACCAUCUCCAGGGACAAUGCCAAAAGCCAGCUGUAUCUGCAAAUGAACAGCCUCAAAACCGAAGACACAGGAGUCUAUUACUGUGCAAGAUACACAGUGAGAGGAAGUGAA
Thamnophis elegans (Western terrestrial garter snake) is the source of this 585-nucleotide non-coding RNA. The record is from the annotation of a RefSeq genome assembly. Lineage: Eukaryota; Metazoa; Chordata; Lepidosauria; Squamata; Natricidae.